RNAcentral lists this unclassified non-coding RNA (1336 nucleotides) under Daphnia pulicaria. RNAcentral's name for it is "uncharacterized LOC124336425, transcript variant X2". The record is from RNAcentral. Lineage: Eukaryota; Metazoa; Arthropoda; Branchiopoda; Diplostraca; Daphniidae.
CUCACCAGGGGAAUCGAACUCGGGUUCCAAGGUGUCCCGAUCACAAAGAUGACGCCUUCUCCGACUCAUCCACCCGCACCUCAGGAAUAUCUUCUUAUACUUCGUGUUUGACUUUGUUCAAACCAUGACGGAUUGUCUUGAGGCAACUGAAGCAAUUAUGGCUGAACAAGGAGCUUACUCAGUGACUUCUGAACUGGAUAAUAUAAAUAAUCAAAUUGAACAACUUUACCAAGACAAUCAAAGGACCAUGAGUUCUAAACUCCAGAAUGAGCUACGAGGAUUUUAUCAAAUGAAAGAAGUGGUUAUCCAAAAUCACUAUCAGCAUGUUUUUGAUACGAAGGAAAAAAGCCUGGAUCUUAUGUUGAAGGAAGUGGAAAAACUUGUACUGAAAUUCCAUUCUUUCAGUGCAAAUGAAACCGCGAAUCUGCUUUCGAUCUUUAGCGAACAUCAUAGACUUAUAAAUGUGAAAUUAAUUGAAGCCAUUGCUGAAGAAGAGAAAUCCAGAUUAGUAAUAGAAAACAUGAGACAAGAAAUUAAGAUGCUAAAACACCAACUGCUUGAAAAGUCAGCAGAACUGCAGAGAAAAGAUAAGAGGUUGAUUGAACUGGAGAUAGCUGCUGAAAAUGCAAACCUACCGCCACAGUUAUCUAACACUGAUCAGGCUUUGGAGACUCAAGCAGAAAGAAAACUGAAGCAUAUUUCAGAUAUUGAAAUGGAUAGCUUUAGCGAUCGAGAAGAAACCCCGGCAACAGUUGAUAGUGAUAGCAGCGUUGAUAGCAGCUAUCAUUCUUCUGAAUCACGCAUUCGUCACUCUCGCAAGACACACAAAAGAAACGAUACGCCAUGGAAUUUUGGAACGUGGUAAUAGAAGAAUGGAGUUUGAGGCCUCUUGUAAACCAAAGAGCAUUUUAAAUAACGCAACUCUCUAAAGAGAAACAAAAUUCUAUUUCAGCUUUUUAGUCCCUACUUGGAAUGGUAAAUUGUCUUGUCGUUUAUUAAUUUAUUGAAUCCCUUUUGGUAAUCAUUUAUUUGUUAUGUAAUAACACGUUACGAAAUUUGAUAUGGACCAUAAGAAACGCGUAAAUACAUGAGUCUGAGGAAACGGAUUUGCACCAUCAGUUAGCGCACGCCCUCUUGUUGUCUUAGGGAAAACCUCUAAUGCAUUAGAUUUGACAUAAAAAAUCUAAUCAAAACAAAAAAGAGUUAAGCGGUUUAACUUCAACCUGCUCGUAUAACGGCCCCUAUUGUUCCUGCCACUUAAUUGUGUUUAGCUCAGAUCAGUUUAAUGACCGCAAAUCGAUUUAGUCCAGGAAAUCAUUCCUUGGGAUAUCUUACC